AUUGAACGCUGGCGGCAGGCUUAACACAUGCAAGUCGAGCGGGGGAAGGUAGCUUGCUACCGGACCUAGCGGCGGACGGGUGAGUAAUGCUUAGGAAUCUGCCUAUUAGUGGGGGACAACAUCUCGAAAGGGAUGCUAAUACCGCAUACGUCCUACGGGAGAAAGCAGGGGAUCUUCGGACCUUGCGCUAAUAGAUGAGCCUAAGUCGGAUUAGCUAGUUGGUGGGGUAAAGGCCUACCAAGGCGACGAUCUGUAGCGGGUCUGAGAGGAUGAACCGCCAAACUGGGACUGAGACCAGGCCCAGACUCCUACGGGAGGCAGCAGUGGGGAAUAUUGGACAAUGGGGGGAACCCUGAUCCAGCCAUGCCGCGUGUGUGAAGAAGGCCUUAUGGUUGUAAAGCACUUUAAGCGAGGAGGAGGCUACUUUAGUUAAUACCUAGAGAUAGUGGACGUUACUCGCAGAAUAAGCACCGGCUAACUCUGUGCCAGCCGCCGCGGUAA
This 501-nucleotide ribosomal RNA is filed under the name uncultured bacterium. RNAcentral's name for it is "partial 16S ribosomal RNA". It matches the Rfam family "Bacterial small subunit ribosomal RNA", at positions 30 to 523 of the family's 1533-position model. The record is from RNAcentral.